Long non-coding RNA from Aegilops tauschii subsp. strangulata, 2674 nucleotides. RefSeq lists it as uncharacterized. Lineage: Eukaryota; Viridiplantae; Streptophyta; Magnoliopsida; Poales; Poaceae. The record is from RefSeq and is a predicted model, not a curated record.
UCUUGCUGGUUUCAGUGCAUUUAUAAUUGGGAACAUUCCUUACAAGGAUCAGGUACACAUCUUACUAUACAUAUACAUCAAUGGUUAAGAAGGACGUGGAGUAAUUGAGCGCGAGCUCAAAUGAGCUCGUUAUCCACGUCGUUGGUUAGCCCCUCUGGAUGUGUGCCAUUAAUUUAUCCUAGCACUGGUGGUCAUCCAAAAAUCGGGUACUGUUCCGAAAUACGUCCCCGGCAGCGGUGUCCAGUGGGCCAGAUUUAACGCUGGGAGGACGGCAGUUUGCCGCCUGGGAGGUGUUUCAUGGAUCAGAAUCAGAGCCGCCGUCUGAUCCGUGGAUCAGGAAAUUCGCUUUACCGUCUCACCGCACAAGUCGAGUUGAAUCCAGAGUCCAGCCGUCUUCUCUUGCAAAGUGGCUGGCGAUUUGAAGGCGAUGACUGGGAGAUAAAGGUCAGGAGCGGCAGCGGCGAUCCAACAUGGAGUUCUUGAUGCAGCCGAUCUUCAGAUCUGCUGUGCUUGAGGAGAUAGAAGAGAGCCUGGUGCCUGCCCCUCUGGUUGCCGAUGGCGAAGUGGUGGCGGAGCAUGCGGUGCGGCAGCAUCACAGGGCGGCGGACAGCGGCAAAGCACAGAUCAGGGGCGGAGGCCGCAGCGGGCAGAAGGGAUAGCUCCCCUCCGACGCCCGAGCUCUCAACGGGGAAGACGAAUCCCCAGGCGCCCGGAUGGAAUAAGAGGGCAGUGGAAAAGCUUCCGUAUGUCAACAGAGAUGCAAAGAUUUUAGUAAAGAAAAAUGGACAUAAGUAAAGAAAUCAGGCAGCUAUAUCUUUCUAGAUUCAGAGUAUUUAGUACAAUGCAUUUAGCUGAACCCUCCUGAUAUGAGAGAUGCAAAGAAAUUAGUGGAGAAAAAUUGGUAGCACUAAUGAAAUCAGGCAGCUGUAAUUUACCGGGUUCAGCGGGUUAACUCCAUUGCAUUCACGUAGUUGAAAUUCAGAUAAGAAAGAACUUCCUUAUGUCAUCAGAUAAGGAAAGAUUUCAGUAAAACAAAGUAGUUUGUGCACCGCAUUCAGUUGUAACUCAUUGAUAUGCGAGAUGCAAAGACUUUAGUAAAGAAAAAUUGAGUGCGGUAAAGAAAUCAGGCAGCUGCAGUUUGCUGAGUUCAGAGGAGUAAGUACACUGCAUUCUGAUUAUUGACAGUCAGAUAAUGAAAAGCUUAACUAUGUGAUCACACAUGGAAAUUAUUUUAUUAAAUAAAAAUUGGUAACACUAAAUCAGGCAGCUAGAGAUGUAUGGGUUCAGAGUAGUUAGCAAACUGUAUUAAAAUGAAACCAUUUGAUAUGAGAGAUGCAAAGAUUUUAUUAUAGAAAAUUGGAUUGCAGAAAAGAAAUCAGUCAGCUAUAGCUUUGUGGAUUCAGAGCAGUUGGUACAAUGCAUUUGGAUAAAUCAUGCCUACUGCCUGGUGUUUGCAGGCUGAGGCUUGGUGCAGGACACCAUGCCCAAAUCGAAUCAGUGCGUUCGACAAGGCUGUCAGAUGUUUUGCAGAGAAACCGGCUGAAAAUGUGAUCACACCUGUUCUCGGCAUUACAUUCGACUCCUUGGGCGAGGCUUCUGGUGAUGCUCUCACUGAUUUGUUGUUAGUAAAUCAGAUACAGUGGAGUAGAAUUUUUAUCUGAGAAGCUCAUGAAAAGCGUGCACAUAAUGAAGAGAUGCUUGGUUUCAUUAGGGCUAAAAAAUACCAGCUAAGCAUAUAGUGAAGACAUGGACGAGGGAUGCUCACGACAUUCUGCCACCUCAUCUGAUACAAUACCAGAAGGGCAGCAUGCAGAACAACCCUUUUUCGUCCAGAAACUUCACGAUGUACAUGCACGCAAUGGAACUAGUCAGGCUGGGCGACACUAGUUUUGAAGCCUACAAUCGAUUGAUGGAGUUGUUCAAGUCGAAUUUGACAGUGAUGUUACCCUAUACAGAAGUUAGGGAUGGUCUUGGCCUCGAGGAUAGACUGGCAGACAGGGGGGCUGUGGUGAAUCAGACCCCCAUGGAGCUGGUUUCGGCGGAACAAAACUUGAACGUCAAAGCAGCUACUGCUGUUUUAGCUGACAAUGAUUCGGUUUCGAGGACAAGCAACAGGUUGGAAGGACUGCUGGCUCCAGCGAAAAAGAAAGAUAUGGGAUGGCCAACGACAAGUACGGAGAAGGCUCCAUAUGAAGGUCUAAGCAAGAGGACUAGGUUUUGCACGAUAUGCUGAAAACAAGGGCAUUAGCAAACUACAUGCCCUGAUGUGGUGAUGUCCCUAAGCAACCUCGGAAGCCUGCCAAAUGUAAGAACUGUGGCUUGCAAGUAGAAUGCAGUUUGACGGGCACCAGCAAAAUAAUUGUAAUAAAGCAAUGGAACUAAGGCUGGCAAGUAGAAUGCAGUUUGGGAAUGCACUGGGACUAGGGUUGGAUUAGCUGGCAGGACGAGGAUGAAGUUGGUUCCGGCCAAGAGCAGCAUGGAGGCGCGGCACAGGGGAGGCUCGGCUGCUGCACCUGUGGCUGCAUGCGCACAUGUGGUGGCUGAAUCUCCGCCUGGCUGCCGUGGUCGAAGUUGUGGUCUCGCAUGUAUCUCUGCUCAAGGGGAGCCGACGGCUGCAUCAGCCCUGCGUGAGUCAGCUCCGGCAGGUACGUGUCCGUGGAUCUAAUGAACCCGC